UGCGUAACACGUAGGAAUCUGCCCGGUAGUGGGGGAUAGCCCGGAGAAAUCCGGAUUAAUACCGCAUACGCCUCAAGAGGGAAAGCAGGGGAUCUUCGGACCUUGCGCUAUCGGAUGAGCCUGCGUCGGAUUAGCUGGUUGGUGGGGUAAAGGCCUACCAAGGCGGCGAUCCGUAGCUGGUCUGAGAGGAUGAUCAGCCACACUGGGACUGAGACACGGCCCAGACUCCUACGGGAGGCAGCAGUGGGGAAUAUUGCACAAUGGGCGCAAGCCUGAUGCAGCCAUGCCGCGUGUGUGAAGGAGGCCCUAGGGUUGUAAAGCACUUUCAGCGAGGAGGAAAGGGUGUAGGUUAAUACCCUGCAUCUGUGACGUUACUCGCAGAAGAAGCACCGGCUAACUCCGUGCCAGCAGCCGCGGUAAUACGGAGGGUGCGAGCGUUAAUCGGAAUUACUGGGCGUAAAGCGUGCGUAGGCGGCCUGUUAAGUUGGAUGUGAAAGCCCCGGGCUUAACCUGGGAACGGCAUCCAAAGCUGGCAGGCUGGAGUGCGGAA
RNAcentral lists this ribosomal RNA (550 nucleotides) under uncultured bacterium. RNAcentral describes it as "bacterial SSU rRNA". It matches the Rfam family "Bacterial small subunit ribosomal RNA", at positions 107 to 653 of the family's 1533-position model. The record is from RNAcentral.